GCCAGCCCACGCGCCAGUGCGCAGUCACCACGCACGCCACACGCGCCAGUGCGCAGUCACCACGCACGGUGUGCUCACUAGCGCCACGCCGCGCUGGCUCGUUUGUGCAGGCAUGGACACCAAUGAUGGCCGUUGAUGGGAUGCAUCAGCCCAGCCCCUCGCCCAACCACUCGCCAGCGCCAUCCUAUCCUCUACAUCGCAUCCCGCCUGACCAAUCGCUGCGACGAGCCCACGCGCGCCUCUG
Molecule: long non-coding RNA, 244 nt
Filed under: Setaria italica (foxtail millet)
Lineage: Eukaryota; Viridiplantae; Streptophyta; Magnoliopsida; Poales; Poaceae
Description: long non-coding RNA (SITA_LNC001175)
Source: RNAcentral